Non-coding RNA from Paramuricea clavata, 796 nucleotides. NCBI's taxonomy places the organism in Eukaryota, Metazoa, Cnidaria, Anthozoa, Malacalcyonacea, Plexauridae. The record is from the annotation of a GenBank genome assembly.
GCGCUGUAUGUGGUUGUUGUACCCGAACAGAUAUUGUUAGGGAGCAUCUGGAGGACACUCUAAGGAUUUGUGACGUCAGUGCAAUGGGUCUAUAGUCUGGCCACUACCUCAUACUAAGUACGCAUCUCAUUGGUCAAUCGGGUAGACUAAAUAAAUACAUCUGAUUAGUUAAUGGUCCCUCAAUGGUAGCGGUAACCAAGAAUUCCUGGUUAAUAGUCCAUCUAACAUAAUCUGGUUAAUUCAACCAUAUACAGGGUGUCCCCCCAAAAAUUCCCUCUUUAGAAAUCACUCUUGUGCGUUAUUAUACCUUUGUGGAUUUAAUUUAAUUGUACAUGAACGGCGGAAGUAUUUACAACUUACCUUCGUCCAAAUAAUUUAACACUUCGGUUACACUUUGCGUUCACGUAUAAAUUGUUACGACAAAUACUCGUUGCUUUGUAGUCAUUUGAACCAUUCUUACUCGAACUGACGAUAGACGAAUUUGUAUUUUGACAUUUUUGUGUUGCUGUUCGUUUUACAAGCUAUUUUAAAUUCCCAGCGGUAUAACAAGGCACGUCCAACAACAAAAGAGUGAUUUCUAUAUAGGGGGACUUUUUUGGGGAUACCCGGUGUUUCUUCGAUUAAAUAUUAAUUUUUCAUUUAUGACCAAUUCAGUUUUCCUUGGGGGCUUUCUUAAUUAGUUCCCAGGCUUUCGCUUUCCCCAAACUGUCAAUGACGGCUUCUUUUAUAUUUGCGUCCAGCGUUGCAUCCUGGGACAGUGCCAGAAGAAUUUCGAAAAUCUUGCUUUCAACAAGCU